CCAUUGCUUAUGUUCAAAUUGCUGUGGGUAUGCAGCUCGUCGUUGGAUUUCUGCUGUGGGCGACCGGCCCGCUCUCCGGGCAAGUCUCUGGCUCGGCCCGGGCAUUUUCCUGGAGAACGUAGUUGCGCUUGGCCGUGCGUGUGGCGCGCCACUCAGGGCUCCUAGCGUUGAGGAAAAUAGAAUGUUUCAAGCAGGCACACGCCUUGAACACGUUAGCGUGGAAUGAUGAGAUAGGACCUCGGUUCUAUUUUGUUGGCUUCUAGACCUGAGGUAGCGAUUAAUCGGGAUAGUGGGGGCAUACGUAUUUAAGCGUCAGAGGUAAAAUUAGUGGAUGUGUUACAGACGGACUACUGCGAAAACAACUCCCAAGGAUAUUUCAUUGA
This 383-nucleotide ribosomal RNA is filed under the name uncultured eukaryote. Its description in RNAcentral is "partial 18S ribosomal RNA". It matches the Rfam family "Eukaryotic small subunit ribosomal RNA", at positions 592 to 976 of the family's 1831-position model. The record is from RNAcentral.